GAGCACGUAGGUGGGUUUGUAAGUCAGAUGUGAAAGCCUUCUGUUCAACGGAAGAAUUGCAUCUGAAACUGCGAGUCUUGAGUGUAGGAGGGGAGAAUGGAACUUCUGGUAGAGCGGUGAAAUGCGUAGAUAUCAGAAGGAACUCCGGCGGCGAAAGCGAUUCUCUGGCCUAUUACUGACACUCAGUGUGCGAAAGCUAGGGGAGCAAUCGGGAUUAGAUACCCCGGUAGUCCUAGCCGUAAACGAUGGGCACUAAGUAGAGGGGUUUU
RNAcentral lists this ribosomal RNA (269 nucleotides) under uncultured Planctomycetales bacterium. Its description in RNAcentral is "partial 16S ribosomal RNA". It matches the Rfam family "Bacterial small subunit ribosomal RNA", at positions 565 to 832 of the family's 1533-position model. Lineage: Bacteria; Pseudomonadati; Planctomycetota; Planctomycetia; Planctomycetales. The record is from RNAcentral.